ACACUCCUACGGGAGGCAGCAGUGGGGAAUAUUGGACAAUGGGCGCAAGCCUGAUCCAGCCAUGCCGCGUGAGUGAUGAAGGCCCUAGGGUUGUAAAGCUCUUUCACCGGUGAAGAUAAUGACGGUAACCGGAGAAGAAGCCCCGGCUAACUUCGUGCCAGCAGCCGCGGUAAUACGAAGGGGGCUAGCGUUGUUCGGAUUUACUGGGCGUAAAGCGCACGUAGGCGGACUAUUAAGUCAGGGGUGAAAUCCCGGGGCUCAACCCCGGAACUGCCUUUGAUACUGGUAGUCUUGAGUUCGAGAGAGGUGAGUGGAAUUCCGAGUGUAGAGGUGAAAUUCGUAGAUAUUCGGAGGAACACCAGUGGCGAAGGCGGCUCACUGGCUCGAUACUGACGCUGAGGUGCGAAAGCGUGGUGAGCAAACAGGAGUAGAAACCCGUGUAGUCCCAUGA
RNAcentral lists this ribosomal RNA (451 nucleotides) under uncultured organism. Its description in RNAcentral is "partial 16S ribosomal RNA". It matches the Rfam family "Bacterial small subunit ribosomal RNA", at positions 333 to 800 of the family's 1533-position model. The record is from RNAcentral.